RNAcentral lists this ribosomal RNA (207 nucleotides) under uncultured bacterium. Its description in RNAcentral is "partial 16S ribosomal RNA". It matches the Rfam family "Bacterial small subunit ribosomal RNA", at positions 1294 to 1500 of the family's 1533-position model. The record is from RNAcentral.
CGGAUCGCAGGCUGCAACUCGCCUGCGUGAAGUUGGAAUUGCUAGUAAUCGCGGAUCAGCAUGCCGCGGUGAAUACGUUCCCGGGCCUUGUACACACCGCCCGUCACACCAUGGGAGUUUGUAACACCCGAAGUCAGUAUCCUAACCGCAAGGGGGGAGCUGCCGAAGGUGGGAUAAGCGACUGGGGUGAAGUCGUAACAAGGUAGC